AUGGUAUAAGAUGGGCAUGCGUCUGAUUAGCUAGUUGGUGAGGUAACGGCUCACCAAGGCGACGAUCAGUAGGGGUUCUGAGAGGAUUAUCCCCCACACUGGUACUGAGACACGGACCAG
Molecule: ribosomal RNA, 120 nt
Filed under: uncultured bacterium
Lineage: Bacteria
Description: partial 16S ribosomal RNA
Rfam family: Bacterial small subunit ribosomal RNA
Source: RNAcentral